This 1135-nucleotide long non-coding RNA is filed under the name Gallus gallus (chicken). Its description in RNAcentral is "long non-coding RNA NONGGAT005433". The record is from RNAcentral. Lineage: Eukaryota; Metazoa; Chordata; Aves; Galliformes; Phasianidae.
UAAACACUACAAACAUCGGGGAGAAAUAUGCGUUAACAUUCUGGUGUUGUUGCAUGCAAUGUAGUUACAUCCCAAAUGCCAUCCCAGCCUGAUUGCAUGGCACAGUGUAGCACAGCAUGGCACAGCACAGCAUGGCAAAACACAACAUGGCAAAGCACAGCAUGGCAUAGCUCAGCAUGGCACAGCACGGCACAGUGUGGCACAGCACGGCAACAUAACACAGCACAACAUAACACAGCACAGUGCAGCACAGCACAACCCAGCACGGCACAGCACAGCAUGGCAUAGCACAGCACAACUCAGCAUGGCACAGCACAGCAUGGCACAGCACAGCUCAACAUGGCACAGCACAGUGUGGCACAGCACAGCACAACGUGUCAUAGCACAGCAUGGCACAGCGUAGUGUGGCACAACAUGGCACAGCACAGCAUUGCACAGCACAGUGUGGCACAGUGUAGUGUGGCACAGCAUGGCACAACACAGCAUUGCACAGCACAGCAUGGCACAGCAUAGUGUGGCACAGCACAGUGUGGCACAAUAUGGCACAACACAGCAUUGCACAGCACAGUGUGGCACAGUGUAGUAUGGCACAACAUGGCACAACACGGCAUUGCACAGCAUGAUGUGGCACAGCAUGGCACAGCAUAGGGUGGCAUAGCAUGGCACAACAUGGCACAACACAGUGUGGCACAGCAUGGCACAGCUCAACAUGGCACAGCACAUAGUGGCACAGCACAGCACAACGUGGCACAGCACAGUGUGGCACAACAUGGUACAGCACAGCAUUGCACAGCACAGUGUGGCACAGUGUAGUGUGGCACAGCAUGGCACAGCACAGUGUGGCACAGCACAGUGUGGCACAACAUGGCACAGCAAAUCAUUGGACAGCACAGUGUGGCACAGUGUAGCGUGGCACAGCAUGGCACAGCACAGCAUGGCACAGCACAGUGGCACAGCACAGCGUGGCACAACAUGGCACAGCGUAGUGUGGCACAACAUGGCACAGCACAGCAUUGCACAGCACAGUGGUACAGCACAGCAUUGCACAGCACAAUGUGGCACAGUGUAGCGUGGCACAGCAUGGCACAUCACAGUGGCACAGCACGACACAGCGUUGCAUGGCACAGCAUGGCAC